Molecule: long non-coding RNA, 1048 nt
Filed under: Heterocephalus glaber (naked mole-rat)
Lineage: Eukaryota; Metazoa; Chordata; Mammalia; Rodentia; Bathyergidae
Description: lncRNA (ENSHGLG00100033207.1)
Source: RNAcentral
CAAAGAGGUUCCUGGCGGAGGCUGGAAAUCCAAGUCUGACUGUGUCCUGUGGGAACACACAGUCACCUGUAAAUACACCAUCCUGAUCAUCCUUCUCCGAGACAGCAGUGACCGUCAUGGUGUGGGUCAUAAGGGACUCAUAAAAAAGACAACCUCUCAGCUUUAUUCAUGUUCUUCAAGGAGACAACAAACACCAACUCAUGGUCAUAGACAUGCAUGUCACUGAGGCCCAGCUACCGUUGAAGUGUCUUCCAACAUCACAGCCAAACCACACAGCCUCUUCAUCUUUGAUGGAAGUAGCAACCAUCUUUUUCAAGAAGUCAAUGGGCUAGUUGUUAAACAGAGUUCUUCUCCCUCCAACCAUAUUGCUCAGAAGUCUCAUAACACCCAGACAAGAAAAGACUCAGCAUCACCUGGAGCUCUUCUGGUUGGUGACUGGCUUGCCUUCCUGAGGAACAACAUGCUGGAACACAUGCUGUGCACCCUGCACAGUGGCCCUUUUCAGACAGAUGUCCUGCAGGUCACGGGUGGUCCUGAUGUUCUGGGCAAGUACAAGCUGAGGGUCAGAAUUCAGUUUCUGGAUCAGAGCAGCUACCUCAUCCAAAUUCAGUCCUAUGUUGCUCAUGGUACCCACACUGCCCAGUGGGAUAAUGUUACUGUUGGUUUUGAAAUGAAGGUCUCACUAUGUCGCCUAGCCUGGACUCAAAUUUCUGGGCUCGAGUGAGCCUCCUGCCUCAGCGUCCCAAGAUUUGGGACUAAAGGUGUAUGCCACCACACCUGGCCUGAGAACACUUUUCUAAGUAAAAUAAGCUAGUUACAAAAAAGAAAUCUUGCCAGGCAUGCCAGCCCAUGCCUGUAAUCCCAGCUACUCUGGAGGCUGAGACAAGGCUUGUAAAUUUGAGGCUAGCCUGGGCAACUUGGUGAGAUCCUGUCUCAAAAAAAGAAAGCAUUGAGGAUGUAGCUCAGUAGUACAGUGCUUUCCUAGCAUGUUCAAGGCCCUGGACUCAAUCCCCAGUACUGAAAAAGAAAAAGACAAAUAUUAUAUGAC